AGGGGCGGGAGCGGCAGGGACACAACUUUACACGCAUUCUGGAGGUGUUCGCAUGCGCAAGGGUGGCGCAGACGCUCUCGGGUUACCCCAUAUCCGCCUGAGAGGGAGUGUCGCCAGAGGGGGCGCUGUAUCCCGCAUGCGUGCAAGCUGUUGCGUUCCUGAGGGCUUGGGAGCGGUCGAAGUCGUGGUCUUAGUUCCGUGAGGCGCAGGCCGUGUUGCCCAAAGGAGACAGCACGACAGGUGCUUCUGAAUCGGGAAAUGAAAGUGCUGCAGACUGGGGACAUAUUGAAGGAACCGAGAAGCUCAGAGCAAUUGUAAAGAGCAGUAGAAUGAGUCUCCUCCCCCAACUCUAAGCAAUUCCACAGCGUUAUGAGCAGUAAAUUAAGAUGAAGUCGGGGAAAGGUGUUCCUCAGAAGACAGCGCAGUCUGAACUUCGGUUUAACGUGAAUCUGAUGUACUGGCAGAAAACAAGGAAACGUGGCAUUGAAGAGCAACAGAAAAUGGACAAUUUCCGAUAUGGGAAGAUGUAGAUCCACUUGAAGAUCAUGAGCCAGAAGGAAAUGAAGUCUAGUGAAUUCUGAGAGAACAGAACAAUUGAUAACCAUCAUGAAGUGGUAUUAAAAGGAGGAAAAAAGUCACCUCAUAUCGAAACUGAAGCAGAUGACAUUAUUCUACAUAUUAAGGAGAACAUGCAACAUUUGUCAGAGUUUGCCUUAUUUUGCUCGACGUGAUCUCCAGAUCCAUCUAUUCUCCUGAAAAUGACAAAAUUUUGUUCUUCUUUAUGAAUGAACUCUACUG
Long non-coding RNA from Heterocephalus glaber (naked mole-rat), 798 nucleotides. Lineage: Eukaryota; Metazoa; Chordata; Mammalia; Rodentia; Bathyergidae. The record is from Ensembl.